RNAcentral lists this long non-coding RNA (301 nucleotides) under Junco hyemalis (dark-eyed junco). RNAcentral describes it as "lncRNA (ENSJHYG00000008157.1)". Lineage: Eukaryota; Metazoa; Chordata; Aves; Passeriformes; Passerellidae. The record is from RNAcentral.
GGGGUGACCCCGCCCUGUGCCCCCAGGCGCCCCCGGGCCUGUCCCCAAGCCGCAGGUGGCCCUGGACAAGGACGAGGCCAUCAAGAAGCUCGAGAGCCUGGAGAAGAAGGAGGAGGAGGUGACAUCCGAGGAGGAGGAGGAGAAGGAGGAGGAAGAAGAGGGCAAGGAGGAGGAGGAGGAGGAGUACGACGAGGAAGAGCACGAGGAGGAGACCGACUACGUGCUGUCCUACUUCGACAACGGGGAGGGCUUCGGGCCCGACAGCGACGACAACGGCGACGAGGCCGUGUACUGAGCCCGA